GCCACCACCCUAGGGUGGCGGCGCAGGAGGGAGAAAGGAAAUUCCGGCGACCGGAAUUGAGCGGCGGUGAACUGCUAUGUGCUGGUUUAUGGAAUUCUGAUGGAAAAAGUGAAGGACAUCGAUGGUGCUAAUGUGGAAAACAACAAUGCGUAUGUGACGGUUUAAUUUCAUAUUUGAGCCUUCUAACGAGUUAUUGAAUUUCAUUUGUGUGUUGAGUUUAAUUUAUUACGAAUUUACCGAUCAAUCGAUUAUUGU
This 255-nucleotide long non-coding RNA is filed under the name Helianthus annuus (common sunflower). Its description in RNAcentral is "sRNA HanXRQr2_Chr04g0146161". Lineage: Eukaryota; Viridiplantae; Streptophyta; Magnoliopsida; Asterales; Asteraceae. The record is from RNAcentral.